GUCUCCGUAGCUCAGCAGGAUAGAGCGUCAGUUUCCUAAACUGUAGGUCGGAGGUUCGAAUCCUCUCGGGGACG
RNAcentral lists this transfer RNA (74 nucleotides) under Brevibacillus brevis. RNAcentral's name for it is "tRNA-Arg". It matches the Rfam family "tRNA". From Rfam's summary of the family: Transfer RNA (tRNA) molecules are approximately 80 nucleotides in length. Their secondary structure includes four short double-helical elements and three loops (D, anti-codon, and T loops). Lineage: Bacteria; Bacillati; Bacillota; Bacilli; Caryophanales; Paenibacillaceae. The record is from RNAcentral.